GGCUCAGAUGAAACGCGGGCGGCAUGCCUUACACAUGCAAGUCGAACGGUAACGCGGGGCAACCUGGCGACGAGUGGCGAACGGGUGAGUAAUAUAUCGGAACGUGCCCAGUAGUGGGGGAUAGCCCGGCGAAAGCCGGAUUAAUACCGCAUACGACCUACGGGUGAAAGCGGGGGAUCGCAAGACCUCGCGCUAUUGGAGCGGCCGAUAUCAGAUUAGGUAGUUGGUGGGGUAAAAGCCUACCAAGCCAACGAUCUGUAGCUGGUCUGAGAGGACGACCAGCCACACUGGGACUGAGACACGGCCCAGACUCCUGCGGGAGGCAGCAGUGGGGAAUUUUGGACAAUGGGCGCAAGCCUGAUCCAGCCAUGCCGCGUGCGGGAAGAAGGCCUUCGGGUUGUAAACCGCUUUUGUCGGGGAAGAAACGCUCUGGGCUAAUACCCCGGGGUAAUGACGGUACCCGAAGAAUAAGCACCGGCUAACUACGUGCCAGCAGCCGCGGUAAUACGUAGGGUGCAAGCGUUAAUCGGAAUUACUGGGCGUAAAGCGUGCGCAGGCGGUCUUGCAAGACAGAUGUGAAAUCCCCGGGCUUAACCUGGGAACUGCAUUUGUGACUGCAAGGCUGGAGUGCGGCAGAGGGGGAUGGAAUUCCGCGUGUAGCAGUGAAAUGCGUAGAUAUGCGGAGGAACACCGAUGGCGAAGGCAAUCCCCUGGGCCUGCACUGACGCUCAUGCACGAAAGCGUGGGGAGCAAACAGGAUUAGAUACCCUGGUAGUCCACGCCCUAAACGAUGUCAACUGGUUGUUGGGAAGGUUCCUUCUCAGUAACGUAGCUAACGCGUGAAGUUGACCGCCUGGGGAGUACGGCCGCAAGG
RNAcentral lists this ribosomal RNA (874 nucleotides) under uncultured bacterium. RNAcentral's name for it is "bacterial SSU rRNA". It matches the Rfam family "Bacterial small subunit ribosomal RNA", at positions 21 to 893 of the family's 1533-position model. The record is from RNAcentral.